Molecule: non-coding RNA, 525 nt
Organism: Pantherophis guttatus
Lineage: Eukaryota; Metazoa; Chordata; Lepidosauria; Squamata; Colubridae
Source: RefSeq, a predicted model, not a curated record
GCUCUUAAGUGAAGAGGAUGCCAAGCUCAUACACCUUCAUGGAACUCACGCUUUCCAGGAAUUUCUUGUACAAAAGGGUUAUCGGAUACCAGAGUUUUUGCAGCAGAUGCUGGAGGAACAGAAUGACGUUGAGCCAAAAGUGGGAGGUUUGAAGAACGCCAAGGAUGAACCAGAAAUGCAAAGAGCUCAGAGAAGAUUAUUCAUCAGUGGUGGGAAACAAAUACGAAGACCAAAGAAUCCAGUGAUCACGAGAACGGAAGCCGACCACAGCUCUGUCUACGAUGUUAUUUGAAUAGGAAUUCUUCCUAAGGACAUGUACCUGGAUGAAAUUUUCUGAGCAAUACCCGGUGGGGAUUCCCUACCUAAAUCCUUUGCCGCUUUUUUGAAACUGGUUGGAACAGAAGUUGCCUUCAGAAGUUGUGGGAGCUUCAUCAAUGGAAGCUUUCAAGAAGAGAUUCGACUGCCACCUGUCAGAAAUGGUGUAGGGCCAUGAUCGCGAACCUAUGGCACGCGUGCCACAGGUGG